Molecule: long non-coding RNA, 705 nt
Organism: Neofelis nebulosa (Clouded leopard)
Lineage: Eukaryota; Metazoa; Chordata; Mammalia; Carnivora; Felidae
Exons: 4
Source: RefSeq, a predicted model, not a curated record
CAGACAUUUGGGAGCAUUGGCCCUUGCAGUGUGAGUGAGGCAGAGAGGGUGUGACCUGCCUCAGCACCUGGAGACCCCACUCUGAAGGCUGGGGGCCACCACUGUGGCAGCUUCUCCCACCACCAUCAUCUCCCCAUCGCCAGGACAAGCACAUCAGGAGGAUAUGGCUCUGAUCUGAGCGAGGCAAUGGUAGCAUGGGUGUGGAGAGAAGACCUAUUGAGAAUCUGGGAGCGAGGAAUGAAAGAUGAGUUUACGACUCAAGGAAUGCAUGGAUACCAGCAGAUGCCCACAUCCCUGCAGUUCUUUCUCUGUCAGUAUCCUUGGAGGGGAAGUUUUCUCUGUCAGUCAUCUUAGAAGGAGAACUUGGACACGGUGGCUUUGGAUUAGGAGCCCUCCACAAAGGGCUCGUCUAGCCCAGCCUAGUGGGGGAAGCUUAGGGGGAGCGGCUACAAGACCAAAGGGGAGGAAACACCAGAAGCCACAGAGGAAGGAGCAGGUGCUGAGAGAGAGAAAUGCUGCUGGCCUCCAGGCAACAAUCAAAAUUAAGGAAAUGCUCAAAUAAAUGACAGGAUGGGGGCAUCUGGAAAGAACACAGGAACCAACCUGGGGGAGCCCUCAGUGGCCAAAGCUGGAACAAUCUGAGCAAUACAAUAAAUAAUGUAGUGUUGGGUUGUUACCCAAAACAUAAAAAUUGGUGUUUGAAUA